Paramuricea clavata is the source of this 208-nucleotide non-coding RNA. Lineage: Eukaryota; Metazoa; Cnidaria; Anthozoa; Malacalcyonacea; Plexauridae. The record is from the annotation of a GenBank genome assembly.
AAGUUUCGUUGCGAAAUGUUGUAAAAUGCGGAUAAUAUAGCUCAGCGAAGUUUGCCGUUUUUCAUUUUGUAUUUAUUACGCACGGGAAAUUGAUACCUUUUUUCUGAAAGCGAUAUCAAUUUCCCGUGCGUAAUACAAAAUGACUGAAAAACGGCAAACUUCGCAGGGCUAUAUUAUCCGCAUUUUACAACAUUUCGCAACGAAACUU